Mastomys coucha (southern multimammate mouse) is the source of this 669-nucleotide RNA transcript. It is a transcript of the gene named inorganic pyrophosphatase pseudogene, with no coding region annotated. The record is from RefSeq and is a predicted model, not a curated record. NCBI's taxonomy places the organism in Eukaryota, Metazoa, Chordata, Mammalia, Rodentia, Muridae. The transcript has 2 exons.
AUGUUGUUCACAAGUCUUAACAUGCUUAUACUCGGAGGGUAUAUCUGGAACUACAGCGCCAUCCCUCAGACAUGGGAAGACCCAGGACACAGUGACAAGCACACUGGCUGCUGUGGUGACAACGACCCAAUUGAAGUUUGUGAAAUUGGAAGCAAGGUGUGUGCCAGAGGUGAGAUAAUCAGGGUGAAGGUCCUGGGCAUACUGGCCAUGAUCGACGAGGGCAAGACCAACUGGAAGGUCAUUGCCAUUAAUGUGGACGACCCAGACGCAACCAAUUAUAACGAUAUUUCUGAUGUUGAACGGCUGAAGCCUGGCUACUUAGAAGCUACUGUUGAUCGGUUUAGAAGGUAUAAGAUUCCUGAUGGGAAACCAGAAAAUGGGUUUGCAUUCAAUGCAGAAUUUAAAGACAAGGAGUUUGCAGUUGACAUUAUUAAAAACACCCACGAUUAUUGGAAAGCAUUAGUGACUAAGAAAACAGAUGGGAAGUUAAUCAGUUGCAUGAACACCACAGUGUCGGAGAGCCCCUUCAAGUGUGAUCCUGAUGCUGCCAAAGCCAUUGUGGAUGCUUUGCCACCACCAUGUGAAUCUGCCUGCUCACUACCAACAGAUGUGGAUAAAUAGUUCCAUCACCAGAGAAACUGAUGAGAUCCCUCUGGAAUAGGAGCUAUA